Stegodyphus dumicola is the source of this 2333-nucleotide unclassified non-coding RNA. NCBI's taxonomy places the organism in Eukaryota, Metazoa, Arthropoda, Arachnida, Araneae, Eresidae. The record is from RefSeq and is a predicted model, not a curated record.
UAAGGAAAUUUUCGGGAUGAAGAAAUUUCAACCAGUUUUGGAACUGUUACGACAAAAAAGCAGUGAUGAAUUACAGGAAGCUUUUUCUUCAACUGAUACGGCUAAAAGGAUAGAUUUUGUAACCUUCAGUGCGCUACUGAAAACAAAGUUGCAACUGAAUGUACCAGAAAAUGAAGUUAAGAAGUUAUUUUUCCAAAUCGACCGCUACUCUCGGGAUAGCGUUACGCUUGAAAACAUAAAUAAAUAUCUUGAAUAUUACGAAGAAGUUCGGUUACUGCAACAGGAUGGACCAUUUGAACCAACUCCAACAACAUAUUCCGCAGUGAGGUGCCAGGAUGCUGUUGUAGAAUGGACAUUGUUCCCAGAGCUGCAAGAUGUACCUCAUGAUCUAUCCGGCCAUUAUGUAUCGCUCAGUCGGACCGGGCUGUUAACAUUUUACACAAGAAGUAUGGAGAAACGCUUUGAGAAGUCUAUAGAAACUCUUGAGGAUGGAGGCAAAUUAAGCACGUGGGCAACUGCACUUGCAUGCAUACCGAGAAAAAAGUUGGUAGCAGUAUCUACGACAUCAGGAGACAUACGGUUCUUUCAAGCCACCAUGUACAAAUUUGAACAUAAAUUCUCCAUUGCAUGGUUACCUUCCAUCGUUGUGAGUCUAGAUUGUUAUAUGUCGGAGAAGCUAGUAUGCGGUGAUUUUUCUGGGCAUGCUUUUGUUUUAAAUAUGAGUUCUGAUUUCUUUUCAAAGCUGCACAGGAAAGCCCUUCACCUCGGACCAUACAUCAUCGCUUUCGACACUAUACAGAAAGGAAAGGUAAAGGGAUUACAAUGCCAGUAUUCCGCAAAAAACCACUUUACACCCAUACAAAAGGUCCAGUAUAUUCCUAAUCUCUGCGCUGUCAUUUCCUGUUCCGUACACACAAAAAGAGCCAUGCUGAUUCAUCACUUGGAUCGGAAUGAAAGUCUUAGUUUUCAGUCACCAGGUGGCAUCAACUCUUUCGCAUACUGUGCGAGACUUAACUGUGUUGCCACCGGAGGAGUUGAUCAUUCAGUGAUGAUAUGGAAUCCUUCUUACAACACCGUGCAUAAUGAAUCACUUCCGGGUCAUAUGAGUUCUGUUACCCAUGUUUUGGUGGAUGAGAAACGUCUUUUUCUAGUAUCCGUGGACAGAGAGAGAAAUUUGCGUGUUUGGGAUUUACUCAGGCCAACGUGCCUUCAACAUUUUAGAUUCAAGGAUGUCGAAAUUCCUGGUAGACAUCCCUUCUGUUCGGCAUUCCUGGACACAGAGAUGGGAAAGUUGUUCUUGACCACUAACCGGAUAGCUGUACUGGAAAGUCGUCAGACAUCUUUGCGUCUGACAACGCACCCAGGGAGCGAAUUUAUAAUAUUCGUUGCUUACAAUCAGAUCUUCGACUGCAUAAUCACAGUGGGAAACGUAUUUGUGGUCGCUCUCUGGGACCCUGAAUCCGGAUCACUAAUGUUCGAAUUCACUGAUAAUCACUCGGAAAUAGAUUAUGAUAUUUUUGAGAAUAAUGUGGACAUCAUGGCUGCUGGCCUUGAAUCGUCACAGCGACGUCUGAUAACAGCAGAUCGAAAUGGCAAAAUUAAGGUUUGGAAUUUCCAUUUGGGACUUUGUCUUCGAGAAUUUCAUGCAAGAUUUACCAUACUAUCUCUGUCUUUCAUCGGCUUUCAGAUUUUUGCAGGUGGUUUUUCUGGAACCUUAAGCGUUUUCUACGACAAUGGAAUGGAGGAUGUGGAAUCCAGCGACUGGGAGAGACUUCAUUCAGGUGCUAUCAUAAGCAUUGAUUAUUAUGGUCGUAAUCUUGUGGCUACAGCUUCCUCUGACGGAGAUAAUAAUUUGGUUGAGAAAAAGCGCAGAUCCCAGGUUGAGAAUGAAAGAUUCUCCAACUGCCAGUAAUGUCGUAGCAGGUCAACAAAACGAAGAAUUCCUUCCUAUGACAGUAGUGGAACAACGUCGGCAAUGCAGUAUCAGCCAAAUCCUUUUUCUUCAAGCUCGUGACAUGGACGAUAACACUGGGAAUCUGGUAUCGUGUGGCAUGGAUGGUCGGAUACGAUUUUGGAAUAUCGUACAUACAGCCAAAGUAAACAAAAGUAAACUUCUAUCCAAGUUUCGCGCUGUUCAGACAAUGUGAUGGAGUUUCCUGCAUAGCAACGGAUGACCAGAAUACAGUGCUUUUAAUGGGCGAUACUUUGGGUUACAUUCGGAUCUAUGAACUCGAAGAAUAUUAUUCAGCCUAUGGUUCACAGCUUCCAGUUUGUCGAAAACCAGAAUCCCACCAUUUUCUCAAGUAUCCUUUUUUGCGGCUUCAAGGAUCAAU